UUCAGGGACCAUGCACUCUUUUGGCUCUAAACCCUGGUUCCCGCGCUGCCGUCGCUGUCUGCCUCUCGAGGCCCUGCCAGCCCGCGACACUGUCCACGCGCGAAAGUCCGUACUGACACCGUCCCGUCCAGGAAGCGUCCUGACCACUAUGCGCUCGCUCGGGGAGCAGGUGCGCGACUGGCACCAGGGUGCGGAGGCCGUGGCGCGCGGGGACUGGGGCUGCGCGCUGCGCCUCUUCUCGAGUGUUGAGGAGCUGCCCUCCAGGAUGAGCUUCAACAUGGGCUGCGUGCACCUGCUGGCCGGGGACCCCGAGGCCGCGCUGCGGGCAUUUGACCAAGCCGUGACCAAGGACACCUGCUUGGCCGUUGGCUUCCUCCAGCGGGGUGUGGCCCACUUCCAGCUGGAUCAGUUCCAGGAGGCCCUGUCUGACUUCCAGCUGGCCCUGGUACAGCUGCGGGGCAACAGCAUCAUCGACUACACGCAGCUGGGCCUACGCUUCAGGCUGCAGGCCUGGGAGGUACUGUACAAUGUGGCGUCUGCACAGUGCCAGCUGGGACUCUGGGCCGAGGCUGCUAACACGCUGGCUGAGUCCAUAUCCAGGUGGCCAGAGAGGGCACGGGAGGGUCUGACUACAGCCCUGUACCACGUGCAGAAACAGGCCCCCCUGCAGCCACGGCAGGUUCCCCCCGGCGAGGUCUUCCGGCCCCACAGACGUUACUUGGAGCAUCUGGAACCCGUGGACUUCCUAGGCAAGGCCAAGGUGGUGGUCUCCACUGUCCCUAAUGACCAGCCUUCAAGUGUCCAGCCUCCACAGGGACAGGGAAUCCAUGGUGAAGCUGGCUGCGGAGCUGUACCACGGCCCCAAGCUCUGGAGCCCAGAGGAGCCGCCACCCAUGACAACUCCCACAGUGCAGCAAGCGAAGCCGGCUCUGACCCUGCUGGGCAGGCUGACCACCACCUGCCUGUCACCUCCCAUCAGAUGAGGCCCAGGGUGGCACCUGCUGGCAAACCAGUCCUUCCAUCUUCAGGGCUUCCCAAGCCCAGUCCCUUCGAGGAUCCUGUGAGCACCAGGGGAGAAGCCACACUGCACUCCAAGGACUCCGUGAUGGUUACAGUGCAGUGCACCCUCACAGUGGCACUGCGGGCCCCCCGAGAAGCCCAGCUGGCCAGCCUGCAGGCUUUGCUGGCUGAGGCCCUCCCUGCCCAGGCCAGGAAGGCACAGCUUAGUUACUGGGCCCCAGAGGAUGGCCAGUUCUGGGUCCCCAUCCUCAGGGAAGACACACUGCAGAAGGCAUGGAGGGACACAGCCUCUGCCCCCCAAGGGCUGCGGCUCCAGUGCCGGCCACCUCCUGCCACAGGGUGUUGCGGGCCGACCAGUGCUGUACCAGGUGUUAGCCCAGCAUGACUACUCAGCCCAGGGCCCUGAGGACCUGGACCUCCACCGCGGGGACACAGUGGACGUCCUGGGCGAAGUGGAUGAGGCCUGGCUGGAGGGGCACCGGGAUGGCUACAUCGGCAUCUUCCCCAAGAGCUUUGUGGUUCCAGCUAGCGAAGCAGUGCAGGAAGACAGGCUCUGAGCAGCUGUCCAUUCAGAGGGUUUAAUAAAAAUGGUGCCAGCGUG
RNA transcript from Cavia porcellus (domestic guinea pig), 1621 nucleotides. It is a transcript of the gene named NADPH oxidase activator 1, with no coding region annotated. The transcript is spliced from 14 exons. Lineage: Eukaryota; Metazoa; Chordata; Mammalia; Rodentia; Caviidae. The record is from RefSeq and is a predicted model, not a curated record.